AAUUUUUUUUUUCCUUUUUAAUUUUUAUUUGUCUCUUUAUAUACUUAUCCCAUAAUUAAAUAAUUAGAAUUUAAAUUUGUUAAUGAUAUCAUGCUUACAUGGGCCUUAUGAUGUCAUAAACCUUUAUUUAAAUUAUUCUUUUCUUUUCUAUUUCUUUUUUUUCCAUAACCUAUUCACUUAAAAUCUAUUUUUCAUAAAUUUAAUUUCUAACAUAUUAAUGGGCAUUUAGGCUAAAAGUCACCUCUA
Molecule: unclassified non-coding RNA, 246 nt
Filed under: Hevea brasiliensis (rubber tree)
Lineage: Eukaryota; Viridiplantae; Streptophyta; Magnoliopsida; Malpighiales; Euphorbiaceae
Source: RNAcentral